RNAcentral lists this ribosomal RNA (465 nucleotides) under Vreelandella stevensii. RNAcentral's name for it is "partial 16S ribosomal RNA". It matches the Rfam family "Bacterial small subunit ribosomal RNA", at positions 338 to 795 of the family's 1533-position model. Lineage: Bacteria; Pseudomonadati; Pseudomonadota; Gammaproteobacteria; Oceanospirillales; Halomonadaceae. The record is from RNAcentral.
CCUACGGGCGGCAGCAGUGGGGAAUAUUGGACAAUGGGGGCAACCCUGAUCCAGCCAUGCCGCGUGUGUGAAGAAGGCCCGCGGGUUGUAAAGCACUUUCAGUGAGGAAGAACGCCUGGUGGUUAAUACCCAUCAGGAAAGACAUCACUCACAGAAGAAGCACCGGCUAACUCCGUGCCAGCAGCCGCGGUAAUACGGAGGGUGCGAGCGUUAAUCGGAAUUACUGGGCGUAAAGCGCGCGUAGGUGGCUUGAUAAGCCGGUUGUGAAAGCCCCGGGCUCAACCUGGGAACGGCAUCCGGAACUGGCGAGCUAGAGUACAGGAGAGGAAGGUGGAAUUCCCGGUGUAGCGGUGAAAUGCGUAGAGAUCGGGAGGAAUACCAGUGGCGAAGGCGGCCUUCUGGACUGACACUGACGCUGAGGUGCGAAAGCGUGGGUAGCAAACAGGAUUAGAUACCCCGGUAGUC